Molecule: long non-coding RNA, 1882 nt
Filed under: Equus asinus (donkey)
Lineage: Eukaryota; Metazoa; Chordata; Mammalia; Perissodactyla; Equidae
Description: lncRNA (ENSEASG00005027940.1)
Source: RNAcentral
CUCGGCGCCUAGCAGGGCGCGCACCGGGUGCGCGGGAGCUGAGCCCCAAGGCGCGAGCCCAAGUCUGGAGAGUUUGUAACAACGGCUGAGGACCCGCGUGACCCGGGCAGGCAGUGGAGGGGACUGACGGCGACGGCUGUGGCCCAGGGCAUGACAUCUCCCACCACACCCCACACCACGACACCCCCCAAAGAAAGGUGCUUCUUUUGAAAGACUGUACAAGGGAGCAAAACCUCGACUCCUCUUCCGGAGGUCCCUUCAGGAAGAUUAGGAGCCCCUGGACUCGGCGACAGGACAGGAAAGGAUCGCAACAGCGUCUUUCAAAUGCCAUUUCUGAUCAGCUUUUGGGUGCCUGACACAACAUCUGGGCAGAUGGAGAGGUCAAGGCAACAGAUAAAAAUGCUAUGAGCCCGAGUAAGGGCAGCGAGGAUUCAGCCAUCUGCACUUUUUUCUUCUCUUGUCUCCCUCCCUCCCUGCCUGUCUCUCCCCUACCCCCACCCUGUUUUCGUCCUCCUGAGUUUGGGAGACCAGCAGGCUUUCUGUUAGACCCACCCUCCCCCACCCCAUUCCUCAUCCCAUCUCAAAAAGAGAGCGAAUGAACCACAUUCUAAGCUGUUACCCGUGAAACUUAGACAAGUUUGGAAAUUAAACAAGUCGCGUUUGCACUCGAGGCCGCGGGAAUCCAAAAGGGAAACAAACAAAACCAGCCCUAAAAAAUCUAUUCCAAGUUAAGAUUUCAAAGAGGAAUCUAAAACGAGUAUUUGUUUAUGGCAAUGUCGUGUUUUUUUUAAUGUUUGAAAAAUAUGUAUCACUCAAGCUUGCAUCAUCGGUAUUCAAUGUGAUUCACCCAAGCGCUUCAAAAGAUGGUUUCUGUUAGUGUUGCAAAAGCACUUCUAAUUUUGGUUGCCAUGGUAACGGAAGUAGUCGCCCUGCGCUGUUGAGACGCUGCCUGGCUCGAACCAGGAACUGUUUUUGAAGAGAUCUCUUCAUGUCCCCUCAUGUCACCAUGAGUUUGCAAUUUGUGAAACGGAUCUUCCCUCUCAGACAACUGACGGUAAACGCUGCCCUCCAGCCCAUCAGCCCUGCUGGCCCAGCUCUCUUCCCACAGCUCAGUGUGCUGGAGGAGGCAGGAGGAGAGUGUUUGAUGUUAAAGGAACCCUGGCCUGCGACCAGCUCUCUCUCCCCAUUUAGCAUUUAAAUUUGGAAUCCUAAUUAGCUUUCUAAUUAAGAGAAGGGAGAAUGUGGGUGGGGGUCCCAGAAAGAGGCUAAUGGGGAAAAAGCUCAGUUCAGCUCGCCAUGGACUGGUGUUUUGUGUGCUGUUGAAUUUGCCUAGCAAAGCCCUCAAGGGUUUAUUUUUGGCUUGACCGCUGUUAAGUGGUAAGCCUGGAAAAACCUUCAGAGAGGCCUCCUUCUGUGUUAGGAAAAAAUGUGGCUUGGAUACUUAGUUUGAGGUGUGUGCUUUUUUCUAAUAACUAAACUGCAUUUAAAAUAAAGGCAGGUUUGUAUGAAAUCUAAAUUUCCCAGUAAUAACUACAGAUAGGUCAUAGAGCCCUGUAUGCACUUGGUUUAGCCUUGGUUUUCAGUUAAGAAAGUGGCGCCAUUCAAAUACUUUCAUUAGCAAAUGUUGGUGUCUUUAAAGAACCAUAGUUCUUUACACAUCCACCAUUCCUGAGCAUGAAUCCUAUAAAUCAAUUUUACACAUUGAUAGCAUAUGAUUGGAAAAUUUGAAAGUCCCUAGACUUACAGUUUUAAAAGAUGAAAGAUUUUUGUCUCAGUAGGUUAAUGUUUUCAGCCAAAUAUAUUGUUUCAUGCUGAGAAACUUAAAAAAUUAAAAUAUAAGUGUGAAAUCCAAUUUCAUUCUUUGACUCUCCUUACAGUGUUU